RNAcentral lists this non-coding RNA (83 nucleotides) under unclassified sequences. RNAcentral describes it as "skipping-rope RNA". It matches the Rfam family "skipping-rope RNA". Rfam says of the family: Firmicutes, Fusobacteria, AlphaProteobacteria, Spirochaetes. The record is from Rfam by way of RNAcentral.
GAUCAUUGAGGGUAAAACAGGCAUUUACCGCACCCAACUUUAGGGUAUAAAGAGAUGUGGGAUACGCCGCCCCACCAAUAAUC